Molecule: ribosomal RNA, 501 nt
Filed under: uncultured bacterium
Lineage: Bacteria
Description: partial 16S ribosomal RNA
Rfam family: Bacterial small subunit ribosomal RNA
Source: RNAcentral
ACGAACGCUGGCGGCGUGCUUAACACAUGCAAGUCGAACGGUGAAGGGGUCUGCUUUUGUGGGCCCUGGAUGAGUGGCGAACGGGUGAGUAACACGUGAGUAACCUGCCCCCUUCUUCUGGAUAACCGCAUGAAAGUGUGGCUAAUACGGGAUAUUCUGGGUCUGUCGCAUGAUGGGUCUGGGAAAGAUUGCGCCUUUGGGUGUUUUUGGUGGGGGAUGGGCUCGCGACCUAUCAGCUUGUUGGUGGGGUGAUGGCCUACCAAGGCGGUGACGGGUAGCCGGCCUGAGAGGGUGGACGGUCACACUGGGACUGAGACACGGCCCAGACUCCUACGGGAGGCAGCAGUGGGGAAUAUUGCACAAUGGGCGCAAGCCUGAUGCAGCGACGCCGCGUGAGGGAUGGAGGCCUUCGGGUUGUAAACCUCUUUCGCCAGUGAAGCAGGCCUGCUCCUUGUGGGUGGGUUGACGGUAGCUGGAUAAGAAGCGCCGGCUAACUACGUG